This 253-nucleotide ribosomal RNA is filed under the name uncultured bacterium. RNAcentral describes it as "partial 16S ribosomal RNA". It matches the Rfam family "Bacterial small subunit ribosomal RNA", at positions 524 to 776 of the family's 1533-position model. The record is from RNAcentral.
UACGUAGGGUGCAAGCGUUAAUCGGAAUUACUGGGCGUAAAGCGUGCGUAGGCGGUUUAGUGUGUGGGAAUUGAAAGCCCGGGGCUCAACUCCGGAUCCGGUUCCCAAACUGCUAGACUCGAGCGUAUCAGAGGAGAGCGGAAUUCCCGGCGUAGCGGUAAUAUGCGUAGAUAUCGGGAGGAACACCAGUGGCGAAGGCGGCUCUCUGGGGUAUUGCUGACGCUGAGGCACGAAAGCCAGGGGAGCGAACGGG